Molecule: long non-coding RNA, 2380 nt
Filed under: Pan troglodytes (chimpanzee)
Lineage: Eukaryota; Metazoa; Chordata; Mammalia; Primates; Hominidae
Description: long non-coding RNA NONPTRT006305
Source: RNAcentral
CUUGAACAAAGAAGGUCUGCUGGAGCAGAAAAAGAGAAACUGACCAGAUGAAUGAGAAACCCUGGGAUGAGUCUGCCUGCAGAGGAUAUAAGGAGAUGGAUAAACCGUGUGAGUGCCCUCAAGUUGUGUGCGACCAUGGAAUGGGAGACUGGAGGGAUACAUGGAUCCCAACUACAGGCCCAGCUCCUCCAGUAUGAGCCAUGAGCCAGUUGAAUCUGAAUGUGAAGAUGGAAUGAAGACCGACCAGAGUCACACUGACGUCAACCCUUGUAACAUGGGGUCAGAUCAAGAAAACCACACCAGAAGCUGAGAAACUGGUGUAGUGCCAGGGUCAGGCAAAAACCCCUGACUCCAUGUUUAUGGCCAUGCUAGCUGUAAUAUCCUGUGCAGUAUGAUUUUUCUGUGCAGAAGCAAAAACAUAUUGGGCAUAUUUUCCUAACCCACCGGUAGUGUGAUCAUACUCUGAAGCAGCACUCCUCCUGAGACAUAUCAUGAUCAAGGAGCAUCAGUACCAGGACCUCUAACUCCCCCUGACACAGAGCAAUUAGACUCUCAGAACAAUGGUAUCAAUUAUACCACUCCAUUGGAGGGACUUCCUUUAUGUGUCACCCAGGAUACGUUGCUCAACUGCAGUUGCCUUGCAGUUUGAUCCCAAGCAUGGUUGAGUUACCAUAAAAAAGUUAUGUACCUAUUAGACCUUAGCUUUAUUAAUAUUACUUAUGUAGUUACUAAUCACUCCUGGCCCCAUCACCCAAAUUGUACUGAUUAUACAGAAUGGGCUCCCUUUGAUAAUUCUCACCCCCCUCCUUGGGCCCACUGUCUUGGCCCCUUAGCUAGACAAUAGUCCAUGUUAAUGGGAGACAUUAUUGACUGGGGUCCCUGUGGUCAUUAAGAUGGGAGAGAUGAGAAUCAGACCACAUGGCAUAAACUUCACUGGCACUGGUGGUGAAACUUUAACAUCUCUUCACUUCAACACACUGGGAUUCAAUCCCAAUCUGCCAUGCAACUUGCUUGGCAUGGAACGGGCUUUAGCCCACCUUUGCCUCAAUGGCAUUAUCAAGGAAAGAGAGGUCCAAUUCAGGAGUCUAUGUGGAAGGCAGCACUCCCAUAUAUGAAUGGCAGCAUUUGGGUUGGGACACUAUCCAGUAAUAGUAAUAGUGCUCAAUACAGUUUAAUGUUACCUUUGUAAAAAAUGUUUGAAAUUUGUGUUUUUAAUCCCUAUGUUUUUCUAGCAGCAAAAAAGGACCAACUCCAGGUAAACAAUGCCCAAUUGAAUUGUGAUUCCUGUCAACUCUAUCAUUGCCUUAAUCAUAGCACAAUACAAACACACAGCAUAUCCACCCUAAUAAUUCUAGGUCGCAUUCCUGGAUUAUGGAUUCCUGUAAAUCUGUCUGAGCCUUGGGCAGCCACCCCCACUUUACAUUUUGUAAAACUUCUUACUCAGCUUACUCAUGGCACUCGUAGAGCCUUAGGCAUGAUAAUUUUUACUAUAGUCUCCUUAAUUACAUUAAUACCCUCUGUUGUGGUGUCCUAAGUAGCACUGGACAGCUCCACUCAAACAGCUCAAUAUGCAGAAAAUUGGAUGCAUACAGCUGACCAGGCAUGGAUGUUUCAAAAUAAAACUAACACUGAGAUACAAACAGAAGUGGCAAUGUUAAAGACUACUGUUCUGUGGCUAGAAGAACAAGUACAAAGCUUGCAGUUGCAGCAGCAAUUGCGUUGUCAUUUUAACCAUACUCAUAUUUGUGUAACCAAUUAGGAAUAUAAUCAAAGUGAAUAUCCAUGGAACCUUGUAAAGGCCCAUUUACAGGGAGCUGUUACAUCCAAUGUUACUUUUGAUAUUAAUGAUUUACAAAGUAAAAUUCUAACAGCACCUCAAUAUCUUUUUCAUAAUUAUUGGAAUAAUGUUACUAUGUUUCUGUUUUUUGUUCAUAGUCUGUAAAAUCAACUGGAACACCAACCAGCAAUUGAGAGCUGCACAGCCUGCAAUUACCUUUAUUCAAUUAAAUCAAAAGCAGAAAGGGGGAGAUGUUGGAGGCUGAAAGAAUGAGGGUCAUGACCAACUCAGUAUACCACUGGAGGCUAUGUGAGCAAACAGCAAACUGUUCUCAUGAAUACAGGAUAUUGGCAAGCUGACAGCUGCAUCUGCCACCAGAAGGAAUGCUGAGGACAGUCAUGCACCAGGCACAGUGUUCCUUGUAGUUAUCUAUAGGAACAUCUGGACCCUGUUGUAUAAAGAAAGCAAUUAUUUGAGCCUGUGAUAAAUCAAGCAGCUGACUAAAACUGUUACCCCUUCCUCCCUGUUGAUUCUACCUAAUACAUGCGAAGGGCUGUAUAAGCUCAGGGCCCUUGUUCCCUAGAAGCAAGGAGCCCCCUGACC